RNA transcript from Asparagus officinalis (garden asparagus), 3035 nucleotides. It is a transcript of the gene named ETHYLENE INSENSITIVE 3-like 3 protein, with no coding region annotated. The transcript has 6 exons. The record is from RefSeq and is a predicted model, not a curated record. NCBI's taxonomy places the organism in Eukaryota, Viridiplantae, Streptophyta, Magnoliopsida, Asparagales, Asparagaceae.
GUCCGUCUUCUUCUCUUUCUUUCAUUUAUUUUCAUCCCCUAAAUUUUUUUGCUUGCCCAAAAGGGGGAAAAAAGUUCGAGCUUUUACUCAAUUAGGGUUUUAUAGAUUAAAUCUUUGGAUACGUUGUACGCGUUUCUGGUCGUUCGAAUUCGUUAGGGCUGCCAAUUCGCAGCGGCUGUAGGACCCAAGAACUCUUAGGAUGAUCAUAAGAAAGAAGAGUUUCUUGCUAGGUUGAGACAAGAAUUAGAUCAUUAAGCAAUAAUCUGCUAGCAUGGAGCAGCUCAUGAUGAUCGAAAAUGGGCUGGGUGGUGAUAGUUCAGACUUUGAUGUCGACGAUGUCAGGUGCGAAAACCUUGCAGAGAAUGAUGUAAGUGAAGAAGAAAUAGAGGCUGAGGAUCUAACUAGAAGAAUGUGGAAGGACAAAGUUAAGCUUAAGAGACUUAAAGAGCGACAAAAGCUUGCUCUCCAGCAGGCAGCUAAGAAAUCCAAGCCCAAGCAGCCCUCUGACCAAGCUCGGAGAAAGAAAAUGUCUAGAGCCCAGGAUGGGAUUCUUAAGUAUAUGUUGAAGUUGAUGCAAGUGUGCAACGCCCGUGGUUUUGUCUAUGGAAUAAUACCCGAGAAGGGAAAACCGGUGAGUGGUGCUUCAGAUAACAUCAGAGCUUGGUGGAAGGAGAAGGUGAAGUUCGAUAAAAAUGGACCAGCGGCUAUAGCAAAAUACGAAGCAGAGAACCUUGCAGCCGAGAAUGCAAAGAAUAACGGAGGAAAAAAUUGUUACAGCCUCAUGGACCUUCAAGAUGCUACAUUGGGAUCUUUACUAUCGUCAUUAAUGCAACAUUGUGAUCCUCCACAGCGUAAAUUCCCUUUAGAAAAGGGUGUUCCUCCUCCUUGGUGGCCUACGGGAAAUGAAGACUGGUGGAUAAAUCUAGGGUUGCCUAAGGGCCAGAUUCCCCCUUAUAAAAAGCCACAUGAUCUAAAGAAAAUGUGGAAGGUCGGAGUAUUGACUGGCGUUAUUAAGCAUAUGUCUCCCAAUAUUGAGAAGAUAAGAACCCAUGUCAGGAAAUCAAAGUGUUUGCAGGAUAAGAUGACUGCGAAAGAGAGUUCUAUCUGGUUGGGAGUGUUAAAUGGAGAGGAAACAAGUAUUCUGUUGCCUAGCAGUGAGAAUGGGAUGUCUGAUGUGACGGAGAAUCCACAUAAUUGCCACGAUGAGAGAAGAGAGGAUACUAACAGCAGUAAUAACGAGUAUGAUGUUGAUGACGCUCGUGACUCUAUUUCAUCGAAAGCUCCACAAUCAUGUAGAGAAUUUGAUGUUUCAACAGGUGGAGAGAAUUCUCCAGCUGAUGGUCCUAUUCAAGCAACUAAAAAGCCAAGGAGAAAAAGAGCUCGUGUGAGUUCUAAAAUUGUUGAUCGUGACUCAGCAGGAUCUCAAAAUAGUCAUUUAGAAGAACACCGAAGAAAUUAUAUCCCUGAUAUGAAUGAUGCAGAUUUACCUGCUAUCAGUUAUCAUAUGGGAAAUGCUAACUUGGAGAAUUAUACAAAUCCUUCUUCAAGUACUCGGGAUAAUCACAACGAGAAUCAAUUAAUUGUUCCAGAGCCUGGAGUUGCUAAUGCACAUGAGAUUGAUACUAACAACCAAUUAAGUGUUCCUCCUCUUAAUGCUGCCGUGCAAAAUAUGUAUGUGGACAACCAUCCCUUGAUGUAUCAGGAUGUUUUCAAUGGUAAUUUGCACUCUCAAACUCCGCCGUUUAGGGUCUUCCCCUCAUCUGUUGGAUAUGGGCACACCCAAAAUAAAGAGCAAAUGAGGACCGAGGAUACUGGACUUGCUGUUGGUAAUCAUAUCUACGGGCAUGCACUGGAUAUGAAUGGAAGUUCAGAGGAAAUUGCUGGGAAUGUGCAUCCGUUAGCAGUUGAGGAACCGAUCCAAAGCGAUUCAAAUAAAUAUGUUGGUAGUCAGUUUGAUUCUCUUUAUCCGAUGUCCCAUGAUUUCGGUCUCGGAAGUCCACUUGGUUCGAUUCCUGACAUUGAUGACUUCAUCUUGGAUGAUGAUGAUUUGAUGGGGUACUUGGGAACAUAAGGCCAUGCCUCCGUCUGUUCUGUGAAUUUCUACAGCGUUCUCCAUUUUCAGAUCUGUAGGAUAUUAGUUUUUCAUAGUCAUGACUCGUAUGGGGCCUUUCCGCAAAAGCCGAAGUAACAGGUCUUGUGAUGGACGGCCCUCAUUUAUCCACGUGUCACCGAAGCGCCAGCUGCUCUGCAACUCCAGAGUCGGCCGUUAUGCGAUCGCAACGAAACCAAUAUUUCCAUUAUGACCAAUCUGCCCCUGACAUCGCCGGAGGUUAAACGCUCUUCUUCAAAUACGGAAGGGCAUUUUUGUCACUCACUCUCCCGCCGAGGGAGCAGAACACUCCCGUCCAAAAUGAGGGGCUCUUCUCGUGAAUCAGCGUAAAAUUGGGGGCUUUCCUGUACAACAGAAACCCUCUUACUGGAUGCCACGUGUCCAUACAGCUGUGCAUCCUCUCCCGCCAGCUCCCCACACUUAUUUUUCUAUUAUAAAAAAAAAAAGAAAAUAAACUUUUAUUCAAGCUUUUUUUUUCCCCACCCGAGGAAAAAAAAGGCAGUAGAAUCGAGCACCAUUUAUUCAAUUUUCUUGUUUGGGAUUUUCAAUGGCAAGCAGAGGCUCCUGGUUGCUAGCCGCCACCCUCUUCAUAUCAAUGGCUUUCCUCACUCUCGCUUCUCGUACUCUCAUUAAUCCAAGUCUGCAUGAAGAAGCGAAGAUGGAAGCACCAGCAAUGGAUAACAGGGUUGGGAUGGAGGAUAGAACGGUGAAUAAAUCAACGGUUGAAGAAUCAAAGAGGCAAGUACCAACAGGCUCCAACCCCGUUCAUCACAACAGAGACCCUUUUCACCAUUUCCUUUGAUUUUCUCUCUCUUUUUUUUUAUCUCCUUAAAAAAAAUAUGUUCUUUGAGAUGAAGAGAUAAUUUGAAAUGGCUACUCUUUGUUCGUUCUCAUCACCUUAUGUAUGUAAUCUUGUUUCUUUGGA